ACGCUGGCGGCAGGCCUAACACAUGCAAGUCGAGCGGUAGAGAGAAGCUUGCUUCUCUUGAGAGCGGCGGACGGGUGAGUAAUGCCUAGGAAUCUGCCUGGUAGUGGGGGAUAACGUUCGGAAACGGACGCUAAUACCGCAUACGUCCUACGGGAGAAAGCAGGGGACCUUCGGGCCUUGCGCUAUCAGAUGAGCCUAGGUCGGAUUAGCUAGUUGGUGAGGUAAUGGCUCACCAAGGCGACGAUCCGUAACUGGUCUGAGAGGAUGAUCAGUCACACUGGAACUGAGACACGGUCCAGACUCCUGCGGGAGGCAGCAGUGGGGAAUAUUGGACAAUGGGCGAAAGCCUGAUCCAGCCAUGCCGCGUGUGUGAAGAAGGUCUUCGGAUUGUAAAGCACUUUAAGUUGGGAGGAAGGGUUGUAGAUUAAUACUCUGCAAUUUUGACGUUACCGACAGAAUAAGCACCGGCUAACUCUGUGCCAGCAGCCGCGGUAAUACAGAGGGUGCAAGCGUUAAUCGGAAUUACUGGGCGUAAAGCGCGCGUAGGUGGUUUGUUAAGUUGGAUGUGAAAUCCCCGGGCUCAACCUGGGAACUGCAUUCAAAACUGGCUGACUAGAGUAUGGUAGAGGGUGGUGGAAUUUCCUGUGUAGCGGUGAAAUGCGUAGAUAUAGGAAGGAACACCAGUGGCGAAGGCGACCACCUGGACUAAUACUGACACUGAGGUGCGAAAGCGUGGGGAGCAAAC
This 745-nucleotide ribosomal RNA is filed under the name uncultured bacterium. RNAcentral describes it as "bacterial SSU rRNA". It matches the Rfam family "Bacterial small subunit ribosomal RNA", at positions 33 to 773 of the family's 1533-position model. The record is from RNAcentral.